UUAAUUUUUAAUUUGGUCAAAAUUUAAAUAAAUAAGCUAAAUCCUAGUUGAAAUCAUUUCUUAAGUAAUCUUGAAAAUUCUCAACCAAAUUGUAACUCCUUUUUAAUUUUGGGCUGCUGGGAGCCCACUUAAUAACAACAACACCUAACAACAGCCCAUUUUAGAAAACCAAUAACCCUAUACCCCAGCCAGCCCAAUUCCCUUAAACUGGCCCAAUUUUCUUUCUCCUUUUCCCCUUAACUAGCAACAACAAACAGAGUGUAACAGCAACAGCAAAAUAGCGUUAUCAUCAACAACAUUCGACAACAACAAGCAAACCAUGACCAACCGACCCGGCAAAGACCCGACCUGACAAAAACCCAUUCCAACUCCAACAACUUUAGCGUCAAACGACGUACACUAGAAACGAACCCUAGCCGCCCCCACUAUUACGGUUUCACCCCCGUGAUUCAGCCAUUUAUGGCCAAAUUUAGAAGCUUUCAUUUUUUCCAGUUUGUGGUUCACUAAUUCAGGUAAAAAAUUAAUAUAUCCCAUGACCAACACUACCAACGGCUCUUUUCCUCACCUUGUCCACUGAUCUUGAGGACAAAGACCAUUAAUGAUUUUUGUCCUAUUGUGGAACUCAAAUUUCUCAAAAUCAGCUCAAAUUUGGAUUUAAAAUCCAUUGAAUUCAAAUCCAAAACCCUAGUGGACUCUCCCUCCCCCCCCAUAUUUUUUUCUAUAAAUAGGUGAUGGGGGGUAAAAGAGAAAUAAGGGAUUUUGGGGGAAAAUUGGGGGUUCUGAAAGCACUUGCCUUUAAUUUCACAUAACCUAAAUUCUCACAAACACACUGCAAAAAUAGAGUUCCGGCAAAACUGUUGAACUCUGGCAAGGCUAAUCGGCAUUCCGAUGGUGAAAGUCCGCUUGUCUAAGGCUCGUUGUCCUAGUUGCUGCCCGAAAAUAGGUGAAGGCUUCACCUUUUACAUUAUUUAUUUGUGUUUAUUUGUUAUAACAAAAUUUGAAUACCGCUAUCGUGAGGCUUGUUGAUUCGUUGAUGUUGGAAGUUAUUUGGUUGUCUGGUUGAUUUGGUGUGGCGUCACAGUUGAAAAUUUGAAUCUGACUUCACGAACCCUGAUUGUGUUUUCUUGUGGCGUUAAGUUUGGGAAUCUUUAAACAUUUUAUUCUGCUUCCGGUAUGACUUGAAUACAUAAAGGAUUUCAUUAUUUCUUACUAUUCAAUUUGUGGUAGAAACCAACACCUAUAAAAUAUCUAUGAUUUCAAUUUAUUGAAUAUACAGUACAUGGAUGAUUUUGUUAAACUUGUGUGUAAGAGCCUCGACUGUUUUUCUCUCGGCCUCCUGAAACAUGUAGUUGGGUGAUUUUCAACCGUUAUUGUUUGGUUUAGUGUUUGAAUUAUUGUUGUAGUUUUACACGUCUAAGAGUUUAGUGUUAUGGUUAGUUUAGUAUUAUGGUUAAAAUAGUAGUUUGAAUAAUUGGUGCUAUGAUUUGGAUAAGCAUUGAGCUAAAUUCCCCAAAUUUUGAAUUUACAGCAUAAUUUGUAAAAAAGGAGCUUAAGGUCAAGAUUAGUUUCAUUGUGGCUACAGGUCACUUGGCCUAAGAAUUUUGUUUUUUUAUGCCUUUAGGCAAAGUGAUCCAUAUGUGGAGAGUAGAACUUUGUUAUUCCGCGUCUUUUUUUUUUUUUCAACUACUGCACGUCUCUUUCUCUUUUCCUUCCUUGUGACCUUGGAUAUGUGAAACCAAGGUCAUGUUUGGACCUUGGUUAAGGAUCAAUAUGGCAGUCUCUUAAAAGGAAAAAUUACCUAAAAUCACAACAUAACUAUCUAAACUUCUUAAAAUUCCCCCACUUCUUAAAAAUUACUUAAAUCUCAACAUUUCAUAUUUUUACUACCUUUCAGAUACAAGUUAACUUACAAUUAAAAAACCCCUUUUUACCAAAAAAAUACUCCACAUCUCCUCUUUGAACGACGCAAAUUCGGUGCACAAUCUGACCAUUUUCUAUCAUGUUCUCCAUCUGUUUCAAAAAAUUCAAUCAAGGUAACCCCGCCCCCCCAUAAAUCAUCUUCAAUUUAUUUAAUUCAUUUUUUACAUUUUUAUUUUUCAAAAAAUAAUUUGCCGCAACUAAAGCUAUCUGACAGUUCUGUCUUUUCGUAGUUAGAUUUCUUUAAUUUCACUUUUUUAUGCUUCAUUGUUUGAAUUAUCAGCAUGAAUAGAGAGUUUGGAUCUUCUAUUAGUCUUGGAGUUUCUCAAUUACAAAAUAUCAAAGAAUCUCAAGAAGUUGUAAACUUCGUUUCGGAAGGUUUUGACUCUGAAAUUGAUGGUUUUCAUAAAAAUAUGUUAAAACAUAGAAACGAUCCUCAAAUGAUGAAGAAAUUACGUCAAAAGCUUGCUAAGAAGGACAAGAAAAAAGAAAGUGGUUCUAAGAAAAGAGGACCCAAUAGUCCUGCAAGUAAAGCUCCCGUCAAGAAAAGAAGAACUAUCGAAGAAAUUUGCCGAGAUGCGCUUCCUAAGGUAAUUGCAUGUACAAAUUUGUUCAAUGAUAGACCGAGAUACAUAUUUUGUGAUGGAUGAUACGUCUGAAAAAAUCAAUUUUUAUCUGAUUGUUUGUUGCUAAUAAUUUAUAUGUAUCUUGUGAUUUAUUUUGAUAUUGUAACUAAUAUAACAAAAGAUACAAGUUUCUUGUCAUUAGAUACAUGUUAUGUUAUCUUGUGUCUGUGUGUUAUUGUUAAUGCUUUGAUAUGUAUCUAUUGGUGUAUAAACUUGACUGAAAAUUAUAUUAUAAGAGAUACAAGUUAUGACUUCAUAGAUACGUGUAAUGUUACCUUGUAUCUGGUACAACUGUUAACAAAAGAUACAAGUUUUUUAAUAGAUACAUGUUAUGUUGACUUGUAUCUUUGAGUUGUUCUUAAUGCUUUGAUAAGUAUCUAUUUAUGUUUAAAUUUACUGAAAGUUAUAUUGUAAGAGAUACAAGUUAUUACUUAAUAGAUACAUGUUGUAUUAACUUGUAUCUGUACUUACUGUUAAUUUAUUGAAAUGUAUCUAGUGUUGUUUAAUUGUUAUUGAAAGUCAUAUAACAAAACAUACAAGUUAAUACCUACAUACAUACAUGUUGUAUUAACUUGUAUCUAAAGUAUGCUGUUAUUAGAGUAUUUACUUUUAUUGUACUGUCUUAAUGUAGAGUUGUUGCGUAUCGAUUAAUUUUUUCAUUAUUGUUUCUUUUUGGUUUUAGAAAUUGAGUUAUGUCAUAAAAGAAAUUCUAACUCAUCCUCUUAGAUUUGUAAGUUCAUGCAAUUUAAGAUUUAAGGAUGAAAUUAAAGAAGUUGUACACUUAGUUAAGAAGACUAUUUUUGGAUGUUAUCUAAACAUACCUCUUUCUAAUUAUAUUGGACAAAUAAUAAAAUGUCUUCUUAUGCUCGAGAUCGAGCAACCAAAUCAAGAAGAGAUACAUGUCUUUGUCAAAGUCUAGAUUCUUAGAUUUUCCAUCAAUGAAUUUGCUUUGAUAAUUGGCUUAAAAUAUUUUGGUAAUGUUGAUGAUUUCAAAUAUGAAGAUUCUUCUACGAGUAGGCUUAUGAAAAGAUAUUUUUCAUGUUCAGGUAUUGAUGCUCAAUACCAUCGUUUGAGAUAUGUCACUCUUUUGUGCAAUUAUGGGUCUGAAAAAAUAGAGAACGGAUAUUUUAGUGAGAAUGAUAAUCCACCAAGGUAACGGAGCAAGUUCGCACCAAAAGAAACAGAUCGCGUUUUGUAUAUUAAGUAGUUUUUUAUUUGUUUGUUGGUUGGAUAUUACAAAUACUCUAAAGUUGAUAGAAACUUUUAUGAUUUUUUGACGAGGUUGUUAAUGUUAGGUACUCAUACAUUAUGUUAAAAAUUAAGAUCCAGGAAUAAACUUAGUUGUAUAAAUCCAUGCAUUGUUAGCAACAGGGUUGUCAAGGUGAUCCAAGAGGUUCUCAAGUGGUCCUUUGCCAGUAACAAUAGCAACAGGGUUGUCAAGGCUAGUCUAGUUGCAGCCAAGAAUAGUCUUGGUGCUGGUGAUACUACUGGUCAAUCUGGAAAGCUUGAAGAUUUCCUAUCUUCUCACUAUUAUGAUUCUGAUGAUGCGACAUCUAUGGAUAUAUUUGUGGGCCAUACUCCAGUUAGAUUUUCCAACCACAACAUUGGUGUUGGAGCUAGUAAGGAGGUUAAUGGAGGUGCGUCCUCACUCAGCCACCUUACAAUGGAAUUUGAGCAACGAAAGCAGAAUUUUGACAAUGAAGCCAUGGCAAUUGUUAGCUUGUAGCCAGGGCAGUUACAUUCUACUAAUCCUGCAGAUGAGUAUCGGAGACUGAAACACAGGUUUAAGGAAUGGAAAAAGAGUACAAGGCCCAGUUGAACGAGAUGAAGGCCAAAGAACAUAUGCUUUCUAAAGCAGGAAAGAAUCAUAGAAAAUGGUGGGGGUAAGAAGAGCAAGUGAUUUUAGCUUAAAAUCAUUCUCAUUUUUUUCUUUGGGGUGUUAAACUGUAUAGGUGAGACUAAUUUCCCCAACUAUGGUUGAUAAUCUAGCAAAGUUGGUGGAGAUUGUGGAAAUAGUGUACGCAUGCUCAGUUAUGGAUGUGAUCCCUCAGCUAGAUAGUUUAGAGCUUAAUUGUGAAUAGCUUGUUGUAGCAACAAUGCUAGGUUGUGGAAGUACAUUAGAUAGCUUGCGAUAAAAUGGACUAUGAGUAUUCUCAGUCCUUGUGUUUUUUGUAUUAGCAAAUGUUGUAAUUAGUUAUUGAAAGAUGGUGAUCAAUUGUAGAAAAGUGAUUAAUUGAUUGUUCACCAAUUCCACAAUGAAUGGCAAAAUGUGAUGGUGUUUUCCUUA
This is a long non-coding RNA of Capsicum annuum, 4830 nucleotides long. RefSeq lists it as uncharacterized. The transcript has 2 exons. The record is from RefSeq and is a predicted model, not a curated record. NCBI's taxonomy places the organism in Eukaryota, Viridiplantae, Streptophyta, Magnoliopsida, Solanales, Solanaceae.